RNAcentral lists this ribosomal RNA (429 nucleotides) under Bacteroidota bacterium. RNAcentral's name for it is "Bacteroidetes bacterium partial 16S ribosomal RNA". It matches the Rfam family "Bacterial small subunit ribosomal RNA", at positions 355 to 776 of the family's 1533-position model. The record is from RNAcentral. Lineage: Bacteria; Pseudomonadati; Bacteroidota.
UAGGGAAUCUUAGGCAAUGGGUGGAACCCUGACCGAGCAACGCUGCGUGAGUGAAGAAGGUUUUCGGAUCGUAAAGCUCUGACGUUAAGGAAGAACGAGUGUGAGAAUGGAAAGUUCAUGCUGUGACGGUACUUAACCAGAAAGGGACGGCUAACUACGUGCCAGCAGCCGCGGUAAUACGUAGGUCCCGAGCGUUGUCCGGAUUUAUUGGUCGUAAAGCGAGCGCAGGCGGUUAGAAAAGUCUGAAGUGAAAGGCAGUGGCUCAACCAUUGUAGGCUUUGGAAACUGUUUAACUUGAGUGCAGAAGGGGAGAGUGGAAUUCCAUGUGUAGCGGUGAAAUUCGUAGAUAUAUGGAUGCACACCGGUGGCGAAAGCGGCUCUCUUGUCUGUAACUGACGCUGAGGCUCGAAAGCGUGGGGAGCGAACAGG